Molecule: ribosomal RNA, 329 nt
Filed under: uncultured eukaryote
Lineage: Eukaryota
Description: partial 18S ribosomal RNA
Rfam family: Eukaryotic small subunit ribosomal RNA
Source: RNAcentral
CCCUUAGAUGUUCUGGGCUGCACGCGCGCUACACUGAUGCACUCAACGAGUUUACGAGCUUGUCCGAGAGGAUUGGCUAAUCUUUUUAAAAUGCAUCGUGAUGGGGAUAGAUUAUUGCAAUUAUUAAUCUUCAACGAGGAAUUCCUAGUAAGCGCGAGUCAUCAGCUCGUGCUGAUUACGUCCCUGCCCUUUGUACACACCGCCCGUCGCUCCUACCGAUUGAACGUUUUAGUGAGGUAUUUGGACUGGACCUUCGGAGGUUCGCGCCUCCGUUGCUGUUCGGGAAGACUCCCAAACUUGAGCGUUUAGAGGAAGUAAAAGUCGUAACA